Molecule: long non-coding RNA, 670 nt
Filed under: Oncorhynchus mykiss (rainbow trout)
Lineage: Eukaryota; Metazoa; Chordata; Actinopteri; Salmoniformes; Salmonidae
Description: lncRNA (ENSOMYG00000049431.1)
Source: RNAcentral
AUGGUCCAGAUGUCGCUGACAAAGGAGGAGUACAGCUGGUUUUCCGACUUCCUCAAAUUCAAGCACUGUCUCUUAGGGGGAAAGAAGGCCCAGCACUUCUUUUUCAAUUCAACAAACACUCAGAUGAAGAACCUGCCUGCCUACCUGAGGGAGGUGUGGAAGGAGAUGGGUCUGCCCGAAUGUCCUUCAUUCACUGACCUGAGGACCUCCAUUGUCACUCAUGUAAAAAACAUGCUCCCAAAGGUUGACAGGGAAAGGGUGGCCAACUUCAUGUGCCACAACAUCCAGACGGCAGACAAAUAUUAUGCCAUGAAUUUAAAUCCAACCCAAGCAAAUGAAACCAGGGCACUCUUUGAGGCUGCACUGAAGGGGGAAGAUAACACAGUCGCCGCAGAGAACCAGCCCUCCACCUCAGGAGAAAGAAAGCAGAAGGUGAGAGAGGAUGCCUCCCUCUCCGACGGGAGCACCACCCCUGAAGAGACCAAGGUGAUGUACCAGGAGUCUGGCACGUCCGCCGGUGACUCGGAAGAGGAGGAAGAGGAUGAAGAUGAGGAACAGAUGGCCAGACAACUUCCAGUAAGAUCAGCUAUUCUGACAGGACACAUUUGAUUAUCAAAAUGUACUUGUAAACUAUGUAACAGUCAAGUGUGAAUUCUGAGAUAUAUCUAAU